GCACGAGGCAACAUGAAUAAAAUGGAUGCAAAAGUGAAGGGGGCACAUGCAUGAUCUUAACUGCCAAGUCAAUAUGGGGGUGUGUCUCAGGACUGAUAUGUCUGAAGUUGGAAGGCCUUGUGCUGGUGAUGCUUCAUUCAAAUAUCUGCCCUAUCAAGUUUAGAUGGUAGGAUAGAGGCCUACCAUGCUUUCAAUGGGUAACGGGGAAUAAGGGUUUGAUUCUGGAGAGGGAGCCUGAGAAACAGCUACCACAUCCAAGGAAGGCAGUAGGCAUGCAAAUUACCCAAUCCCGACAUGGGGAGGUAGUGACAAUAAAUAACAAUAUGGGGCUCAUUUAGGUCCCAUAAUUGGAAUGAGUACAGUUUAAAUCCCUUAACGAGGAACAAUUGGAGGGCAAGUCUGGUGCCAGCAGCCACAGUAAUUCCAGCUCCAAUAGCAUAUAUUAAAGUUGUUUCUGUUAAAAAGCUCAUAGUUGAACUUCCAUGGGCCCAUGUGGUCUGCCUCACGGCAAGUACUGCAUGGGUCUGUGCUCCUCGGUGGUGAGCCUUGAUGCCAUUCAUUCGGUGUCUUGGUGAACCACCUCUGUUACCUUGAGAAAAUUAGAGUAUUCAAAGCAGGCAAACACCUGAAUACAUUAGCAUGGAAUAAUGAAAUAGGACGUGUGGUUCUAUUUUGUUGGUUUCUAGAGUCACCGUAAUGAUUAACAGGGAUAGUUGGGGGCAUUAGUAUUCAGUUGCUAGAGGUGAAAUUCUUGGAUUUACUGAAGACUAACUACUGUGAAAGCAUUUGGCAAGGAUGUUUUCAUUAAUCAAGAUCAAAGGUUAGGGGACCGAAAACGAUCAGAUACUGUUGUAGUCUUAACAGUAAACUAUGCCAACUAGGGAUUGGGUGACCUCAAUUUGAUGUGUUGCUUGGCACCUUAUGAGAAAUCAAAGUCUUUGGGUUUGGGGGGGAGUAUGGUCACAAGGCUGAAACUUAAAGGAAUUGACAGAAGGGCACCACCAGGAGUGAAGCCUGCGGCUUAAUUUGACUCAACAUGGGGAAACUCACCAGGUCCAGACAUAACUAGGAUUGACAGAUUGAUAGCUCUUUCUUGAUUUUAUGGGUGGUGGUGCAUGGUCAUUCUUAGUUAGUGGAGUGAUUUGUCUGGUUAAUUCCGAUAAUGAACAAGACCUUCCCAUGCUAACAGCUGGCUUUGGCUGGUUGCCGGCUUCUUAGACAGACUAUCGACGUUUAGCCAAUGGAAGUUGGAGGCAAUAACAGGUCUGUGAUGCCCUUAGAUGUUCUGGGCUGCAUGUGUGCUACACUGACAGGGCCAGUGAGUUUAUCAUCUUGGCUGGAAGGUCUGGGUAAUCUUGUGAAACCCUGUCGUGCUGGGGAUAGAGCAUUGUAAUUAUUGCUCUUCAACAAGGAAUUCCUAGUAGGCAUGAGUCAUCAGCUCGCAUCAAUUAUGUCCCUGCCCUUUGUACACACUGCCUGUCGCUACUACUGAUUGAAUGGCUUAGUGAGGUCUUCAGAUUGGCUUCAGGGAGCUGGCAAUGGUUCCCUGUUGCCGAGAAGUUGAUCAAACUUGGUUGUUUAGAGAAAGUAAAAGUCAUAACAAGGUUUCCGUAGGUGAACCUGCAGAAG
Molecule: ribosomal RNA, 1629 nt
Filed under: Ramaria cf. rubripermanens
Lineage: Eukaryota; Fungi; Basidiomycota; Agaricomycetes; Gomphales; Gomphaceae
Description: SSU rRNA
Rfam family: Eukaryotic small subunit ribosomal RNA
Source: RNAcentral